RNAcentral lists this long non-coding RNA (1388 nucleotides) under Dendronephthya gigantea. RNAcentral describes it as "uncharacterized LOC114535676, transcript variant X2". The record is from RNAcentral. Lineage: Eukaryota; Metazoa; Cnidaria; Anthozoa; Malacalcyonacea; Nephtheidae.
GUUCCCGUAAUGGAUCUGAGCGUGAAAGAUCAACAAAUCAUCAAGACUGUUAUCCAGUUUAUUGUAGCCUUGGGUAUUUGUCCCAACCUUUUUGAAGGAGUAGGUGCAGCCUCUACACAAAGAACUGGUUUUGGUGAUGCUUUGUGUGCUGAGCAAGAGAUCAAGUGUCCGCAAUGUUUGUAUAAGUGUGCAUAAUGGUCUUAGUUAAUUGUCUUGACGAGCCCUCAUUAAGCGGAGAGAUGUUGUGCUGAUGUUAAGUUUGGCUAACUCUGGCUUCAGUGUAUAAUACCUGCGUGGUUCGAUUCAUUGUGGCGAGGAAUAGAAUGGUUGCAGUAGGUUUGUCGACUUUCUCUACAAGUGCCGUCCCAAACUUCGAAGUUAUGUAUUUGAAAUUAAAUCAAAGUUGGAUUUUAUAUGCAAUCAAAUGGGAAUAACAAUUGAAUGUGCUAUUAAAAUGCCCAUAAACACGCUGUGUUUCUUGUUGUGGAAUGAAAAUUUAGCUACAGAAGAAUUCAGGGUGAUUCAUCGAGAUUAUGGUCUGCAUGUCAUUGGGAUCUAACCUGGAUUACCAUACUGCGCUGGUAUACCAAACAAGUAUAUGAAGGUCUGAAAACUUAACACGAGUUCCCGUAAUGGAUCUGAGCGUGAAAGAUCAACAAAUCAUCAAGACUGUUAUCCAGUUUAUUGUAGCCUUGGGUAUUUGUCCCAACCUUUUUGAAGGAGUAGGUGCAGCCUCUACACAAAGAACUGGUUUUGGUGAUGCUUUGUGUGCUGAGCAAGAGAUCAAGUGUCCGCAAUGUUUGUAUAAGUGUGCAUAAUGGUCUUAGUUAAUUGUCUUGACGAGCCCUCAUUAAGCGGAGAGAUGUUGUGCUGAUGUUAAGUUUGGCUAACUCUGGCUUCAGUGUAUAAUACCUGCGUGGUUCGAUUCAUUGUGGCGAGGAAUAGAAUGGUUGCAGUAGGUUUGUCGACUUUCUCUACAAGUGCCGUCCCAAACUUCGAAGUUAUGUAUUUGAAAUUAAAUCAAAGUUGGAUUUUAUAUGCAAUCAAAUGGGAAUAACAAUUGAAUGUGCUAUUAAAAUGCCCAUAAACACGCUGUGUUUCUUGUUGUGGAAUGAAAAUUUAGCUACAGAAGAAUUCAGGGUGAUUCAUCGAGAUUAUGGUCUGCACGUCAUUGGGAUCUAACCUGGAUUACCAUACUGCGCUGGUAUACCAAACAAGGAGAUGUGAACUAGUGAAGAGUCUUCAAAUAGUAAGUGUGUUAGUGACACUGGGCUAUAUUCCGAGCAAUAGUAUAGUUCAGUGAUCAGUGAGUGUAAGUUGUGUAGCCAAAACAAACAAAAUGAACAAACGCCAUGAAGUGUAAUAAAGACAAAAGUUCGGUGGUUGCC